Mercurialis annua (annual mercury) is the source of this 3630-nucleotide RNA transcript. RefSeq lists it as uncharacterized. The record is from RefSeq and is a predicted model, not a curated record. NCBI's taxonomy places the organism in Eukaryota, Viridiplantae, Streptophyta, Magnoliopsida, Malpighiales, Euphorbiaceae. The transcript has 8 exons.
AAUUUAUCAAAACCCAAUUUUGACCCUAAAAUUAAUUAUUUUCCUCUUCUCAAUUUGCCCUAAUCUACCGAUUCUCUCAGGUUCAGCCAAUUCACUCUCUGGCCGGCUGCUUGUUCACCGGAAACACCCAACUCAAACUCACUGGAGUUGCUGAUGAUGAGCCCUCUGUUGGAGCAGAUCCAUGGUCAAAUUAAGGACAAUUUUCGUGCUCUUUCCUUGCAUUUCACCAAAGAGCUCUAGGUCAAAUGGUAUAAGCGCUUGGUAGCAUUUUGCCAAGGUGGUGGGUUCUAUUACUUCCACAGGCUCUCCCCUUCCCCAAUUAUAAAAAGAAAAAAAAACAGUAGCUUUCACUUCUAAAGCUGCACUCUUUAAUUCCCAAAAACUUACUCUGAUUGCAGAGCAGCUUUCUUUAAUUAAUGGUUGAACCAAUGGCUCCACUUCGCACCUCUGCGACUGUUGAUCCUGGAUGGGACCAUGGUGUUGCACAAGAUGAGAGGAAGAAAAAGGUCAAAUGUAACUAUUGUGGGAAGGUAGUUAGUGGUGGUAUAUACAGGUUAAAGCAACAUUUGGCUAGAGUCUCCGGCGAGGUCACUUACUGUGACAAGGCUCCCGACGAAGUUUACCUUCGAAUGAAAGACAAUUUGGAGGGAAGCCGUUCCAUCAGAAAAGCUAAACACUCUCAAGAUGAUGGGCAUGCUUAUUUUCAUUACCCGUACGACGAUGAAGAAGAGCAUGCUGGCUUCAGAAGCAAAGGGAAACAGUUAAUAGGUGAUGCUAGUUUGGCUGUAAAUUCGGCACAAGUGCGAUCACUGGGUUAUGUUGAUCCUGGAUGGGAACAUGGUGUUGCACAAGAUGAGAGGAAGAAAAAGGUUAAAUGUAAUUAUUGCGAGAAAGUGGUUAGUGGAGGUAUUAACCGAUUUAAACAGCAUAUAGCUCGAAUUCCUGGAGAAGUAGCACCAUGUAAAAAUGCCCCGGAGGAAGUAUACCUCAAAAUUAAAGAAAACAUGAAGUGGCACCGUACUGGCAGGCGACCUAGACAGCCUGAGACCAAGCUUUUAUCUACUUUCUACAAGCAAUCCGAUAAUGAAGAUGAAGAAUAUGAGCAAGAACACGAUGCCCCUCUUCAUAUGAGCAAGGAAAGACUGGUACUUGGUGAUAAAAGAUCGGCCAAGGAUUUGAGAACGACUUACAAGGGGGUAUCUUCCAGCAAUGGAUCGGAACCCUUACUCAAAAAGUCAAGGUUGGAUUCUGUUUUCCUUAAUGUGCCAAAUAGUCUAAUGACAACUUCUUGCAGGCAAUUAAAGGUCAAAACUAGGUCCAAUAGGAAAUCACGCAAGGAAGUAAUUUCUGCAAUUUGCAAGUUCUUUUACCAUGCAGGAAUUCCAUUACAAGCUGCAAACUCACUGUACUUCCAUAAGAUGCUGGAAUUGGUUGGCCAGUACGGACAUGGUUUUGUUGGUCCUCAGAGCCAUGUGAUAUCUGGCCGCUUUUUACAGGAGGAAAUUGCAACUAUCCGAAACAAUCUAUUUGAGCACAAGGCUGCCUGGGCAAUCACUGGUUGCUCUAUAAUGGCUGAUAGUUGGAUGGAUAAUGAAGGUAGGACAUUGAUCAAUCUCUUAGUUUCUUGCCCCAAUGGUAUGUACUUUGUUGCUUCAGUCGAUGCCAGUAAUAUGCUAGAAGACGCUUUAAGCCUGUUCAGGCUAUUGGAUAAAGUGGUGGAAGAGAUGGGUGAAGAAAAUAUAGUGCAGGUAGAAGCCAACUCUGCUCAUUCAAAUCCUCUGGGAGCUCGCCAUACGAAGUGUUAUAAGGCUGCUGGGAAGAUGCUUCAGGAGAAGAGAAGCAAUUUAUUCUGGACGCCGUGUGCCGUGCAUUGUAUUGACCAAAUCCUUGAAGAUUUUCAUAAGAUCAAAAGUGUAGAAGAGUGUAUGGUGAAAGGCCAAAGGAUAACAAAACUUAUUUACAACUGUAUCUGGUUGCUAAAUCUUAUGAAAGAAUUUACACAGGGGCAGGAACUUCUGAGGCCAUCUGCUACUCGAUGGGCAUCUAGCUUUGCAACUUUGCAGAGCUUGCUGGAUCACAGGACUAGUUUAAGAAGAAUGUUCCAAUCAAGUAAAUGGACUUCCUCUAGGUACUCCAAAUCAGAUGAGGGAAAGGAGGUAGAAAAAAUGGUAGCAAAUGCUACAUUUUGGAAGAAGGUGCAAUAUGUUUGUAAAUCAGUAGACCCGGUGAUUCAAGUGCUUCAAAAGGUACAUAGUGAUGAAAAUCCAUCAAUGCCAUACUUGUACAAUGACAUCUGUAGGGCAAAACUUGAAAUCAAAUCCAUUCAUGGAGAUGAUGGACGUAAGUAUGGACCAUUCUGGAAAGUACUUGAGAAUCAGUGGAACUCAUGGUUGCACCACCCGUUGUACAUGGCCGCAUACUUCCUGAAUCCAUCAUAUAGAUAUCGUUCUGAUUUUUUGGCGCACUCAGAGGUAAUGCGUGGACUAAAUGAAUGCAUACAUCGGCUGGAGCCAGACAAUCUGAGAAAGAUUUCCGCAUCCAAGCAGAUUUCUGAUUAUAAUUCUGCAAAAGGCGAUUUUGGAACUGAAUUGGCAGUUAGCACAAGAACAGAGCUUGACCCAGCUGCAUGGUGGCAACAACAUGGAAUAAGCUGCUUAGAUCUGCAACAAAUAGCUGUGCGUGUGUUGAGUCAGACAUGUUCCUCAUCUGGUUGUGACCAUUCCUGGAGCACAUAUGAUCAGAUCCAUGGUCAGAGACAGAACCGUUUUGCUCAGAAAAAAUUAGAUGACCUAGUAUUUGUUCAUUACAACCUGCGACUUAGAGAACGCCAAUUGAGGAAAAGAUCUGGCAGCUCAAUGUCCCUGGAUGGCGUGUCGGCGGAACGCUUGCUAAAUGACUGGAUUGUGGAAGAAGAGAAACAUUCGUUUCAAGCAGAUGAGGAAAUCCUUUACGAUGAAAAUGGAGAGAUGUAUGAAGAGGGAGGUGAGAAUGAUUUGUUGGAUUAUGAUGGAAUUCUGGAUCAUCAGAAGGGAACUACUACUCCUGAGCCAGUGACUACAGCUGAUGUUGAAGCUUUGGAUGUUAAUCCAAGUAAUGGCGGCGGCACAACUGAGGAUGAUGAGGACGAGGAAGAGGAGGAGGAGGAGGAUGAGAAUGACAACUUUUUUGAUGAUAAUAUGAGUGAUUAAAUGUAGGUAAACGAGUGGUAUUGUCUGAAAGGAAAAACCUUUUUACUAAUCUCUAGUGAAUGUUAGUAAAAUAUUAGUGGAGUGGAUUACUGUAAAAAUUGUUGUUACCUCUGAUGUUGUGAGUAUAUAUAUACAAGUGGUUGACUGCAGAAGACGAAAACCAAGGCUGCUUGUUUAGUUUGUGUGAUUAUUAACCCCAACAACAAAGAUAUUAGGGACAUUUCUGGAUUGGCACUUCCAGCUCCAGCAAGAAGGCUGUUGUAUAUUAGGGAUCCAGAACAUUAUGCAAACUCAAUGUUUAUGGGUUUCUGUUGAGAGUGUAGUGGCUAGGGACUAGGGUUGUAUUAUCUCUUUCCUACAUCUCUGUCACUGUAAACAUGGCCUUUUGUACUGUUUUGAAUGCUAUUGUUAAGCCAUACAAACGCCUACCUUGUCAUUUUGA